RNAcentral lists this long non-coding RNA (5964 nucleotides) under Homo sapiens (human). Its description in RNAcentral is "non-protein coding LCMT1-AS2:4". The record is from RNAcentral. Lineage: Eukaryota; Metazoa; Chordata; Mammalia; Primates; Hominidae.
ACAUGCUUUGCCCAGCUCAGCCUACAUGCCCUCUCCCGAUGUCAGUUACCAGGCUUUGCUAAUAAAACGUCUCUCCCGGCUCUUCCAGAGAGCCAGCCGCAGAGUCUCUGCCGUCUCCCCGUGCGCUCAAGCACAAGCCCCCAACUAAAAGCCUUGUCUGGAAAAUCUGCUUGGUGCCAUAACAGAUUAUCUGGUGAGCCAGGUAGGAGCACAAGGAGUAAUUUCCCUCCCUGCAGGGGAGGCUUGUGAGCCUGCGAGCCGGAGGGAGGCCCCACUGAUUCAGCGCUGCCACCGCGACUGGCGAGUUUUCCUCUAGUCUCGCGACUGGACACUGGUCAGUAGAACCUGGACCUGCUGUAAGGCUGAAGAAGAAAAAGAAACCAUCCAAGCUGGCACUCGGUUUUGGGGAGUUCUCUUCACUGCUCACGCCGGCCCUCUUGUGUGACCUGUACUGUUGUGCUGUGUGGGGCUGGGAGCCAACUCUCUUUUCGUCGCCUGACACCUGUGCUUGCACCCUGCCCCUGGUCCUUUAAUAAGACAAGCAGACACAGGGGCUACAGUCAUGGGCAAUGCCCCAGGCAUCUUCCAAGACUCACACCUGGGAUGUAUCAUUUCUAAAUGGAAGGAAUCCAAAUCAGAUGGUUUAAAGAAAAAGAAACUCCAGCCUGGGAAACAUAGGAAGACUCCACCUCUACAAAAAACAGGAAAAAUGAGCCGGGUGUGGGGGUGCCUUCCUGGGGUCUCAGCUACUCAGAAGGCUAAAGUGAGGAUCGCUUAAGUCCAGGAGGUUGAGGCUGCAGUGAGUUGUGGUAAUACCAUAGCACUCCAACCUGGGCAAUGGAGUGAGACCCUGCCUCAAAAUCAAAUUUUUUUUUUAAUUAAAAAAAAAGAAACUGAUUUUCCUCUGUAAUACAACCUGCCCUAGUACACAUUAGAUCAAGAAAAAUGGCCAUGGGCAGAAGUGGAUCUCCUAGUUUUAACACUAUCUUACCGCCCGACCUAUUCUGUGAAUGGACAGAGAAAUGGGGAGAGAUACCUAGCUACAAGCUUUUAUGAAGUUAUGCUAGGACCCAGAGCUACUGGAUUCUUGUCAGGUGUGUGUGGCCCCUAUUUCCAGGUUCCUCCUGAAGGAACCUGAAGAAGCGGACCUCCACAGCCUCAGGCCCCGAGCACUCCCUCCCUACCCUAAGCAGGCCUCCUGGGGAGGGGAGCCCCUGUGCUGUCCCCAACAGCGCUCCAAUCGGACUCCAAACAGGCACCCUCUUUUGCUUCCCCACUGGCCCAGGGCUGUUUUCCCCUCAGAGAAAUGGAUGGAAACGGGGGAGUGACAAGGAUCCAAGUUCCUUUUUUUGGUGGUGGAUCUAGGACUAUGUAAAAAACACUUUGGUAGAUUUUCAGAGGAUCCUGGUAAGUUUAGAGAUGAAUUUGUUAAACUAAAUCUUGCCUUUUCAUUGACGUGGCAGGAUGUUAUGGUCACUUUGCAGUACUGAUGAAAAGCAACACAUAUUUGGAAAGGCUAAGGAAUAUGCCAAUAGCCAGGUGGUCACUAAAGACCAAUAUGCAGUCAUCUGUUUAGGGGGAGAUGCGGUCCCAGGCAUAGUCUCCACGUGAGUGAGACUAUGGAGAAAACCUAGAAAAAGCUAGAAUGAGCCACUUUGUCACCUGCCUGACUGAAGGAAGAAGGAAAUGUAUAGUAAAACCUGUACACUAUGACAGGGUCAAGAAAAUUACCCAGAGAAAGAAGGAGAUCCCAGUAGUCUUCCUCAAUCGAGUCCCUGAGGCCCUUGGGAAAUGCACCCAUGCAGACCCAGAGGCAGCAGAGGGGAAGCAUCGCGUGCCAUGCAUUUUAUCCUUCAGUCAGCUCCGGACAUUAGAAGGAAAUUACAGAAAAUUUGGAGGCCAGACCCCAGACCCUGCUGUUGACUUUGGCAGAGGCGGCUUUUAAGGUUUUCAAUAACGGACAGGACACAGAUGGCAGGUAAGAAGAGGAGACUGACCAAGACAGCACAGCUUCUGGCUGCCCUAAUUCAUCCACCAUCUCAGGGUGACCCUAGGAUUCUCAGGAGACCAACUAAUCGAAGACAGCCAACCUUGGAUGGAGCCAAUGUGCCUACUGCAGGAUGGAGGGGGUCACUGGAAGAGAGGCUGCCCUGACCUCCUUAAAACAGGACAGCCGGCAGGCAACCCUGGCCAGCCGCCACUCCUCACCAAGCUUUCAGAUGAGAUUGAUACACACCGCCUGACAGCACCCUGGCUCUGACUGCAGCACACUCCAUCGUCAUCACACCACGGAGCCUCAGGUCACCCUUGAUGUGGCAGGUAGGAAAACAGUUCCUCGUGGACAGCAGAGCUGCCUGCUCGGUCCUGACCCAGCCUAUUUGCCUCCUCUCCAAUUGCAAUUGCAGGGUAAUGGGAAUAGACAGGUGUCCUAAGGUAAGAAAAUUUACUUUCCCUCUUGCUUGUGAGGCCAUGUCUAGGCUUUUUUCUCCUCAUUUCUGUAUGCCCCCCGGAAUGUCCUACUCCAUUGCUGGGUAGAGACUUAUUAAGCAAAAUGGGAGCCACCAUCUCCCUGGAAGAGGACAGACUGCAGGUAGAGGCAGAGCCAGAACAGGGAAUCCACCUGCUAGCACUCUUAAAUGGACAGGAACUUGAGACCCAAAACAUACCCAAAGAAAGCAAGGAUCACAUCACCCCUUCCCUAUCGGACACUUCAGUCCUAGGACAGGCUAAUAAAGUUCCGCCAGUAAAGACAGACCUGAAGCCUGGGAUGGGCUAUCCAUGGAGGAAAUCAUACCUCCUAAAACCUGUGGCACUGAAUGGGGUUCAGCCAUUACUCCACAAAUUCCUAUAGCAAGGGCUAAACCCUGCCAGUCCCCAGGCAACACCUCGGUCCUCCCUGUUAAAAAGCCUAAUGGAGAAUAUCAGUUUGUGUAGGACUUGAAGGGGGUUAAUGAGGCAGUCAUUCCCAUCCACCCAACACUGGUCCCAAGCUUGUCUGUGCUCAGAUACCUGGAGAUGCUCAGUUUUUCACUCUACUACACUUCAAGGAUGCUUUCUUUUGUGUAGCCCUCUCCACCCAGAAUCCCUGUAUCUUUUUGCUUUGAAUGGAGAAAUCUCUGAUACCCAGAAAGCCACAUAGUACACAUGGACUGUGCUUCCCCAGGGCUUCUGGGAAGGCCCCCACCUUUUUGGGAAUGCAGGGAGCUAAGCCUACAGAAUGGGACUUUUAUUACAAUAUGUGGAUGACUUGUUCAUUGUCAGCCAAACAUGGCAGGAUUCAGAUUUUAAUAUCAUUAAAACCUUGAAUUUCCUGGCUGAGCGGUGAUACAAGGUCAGCCCCAUCCAAGGCCCAGAUUUCUUUACAGAAGUUCCGAUAUCUGGGGUUCAUUCUGACCCCAGGAGCCCGAACACUAGUUGUGGACUGGAAAAAGCAAUCACUUCAUUGCUGGUCCCACAAACAAAAAGGCAGCCCCAGGGUUUCUUGGGAAUGGUGGGCUUCUGUAGUAUUUGGAUUCCAAAUUAUGGCCUGACGGCUAAACCCCUAUGUGAGACCCAAAAGGGGGAAGAAAGAGAGCCCUUGUACUGGGAGAAGAAAUGUCAACAAUCUUUUGAACCUCUAAAAACUGAGCUGGGUCAAGCCCUUGUCCUUGGACUCCCUGAGAAAAACCACUUACCUUGUAUGUUUGUGAGAGACUAGGAAUAGCUUUGGGAGUCUUAACUCAAAGGUUAGGACCUGUUCAGAAGCCAGUGGCUCAUUUUUCGAAACAGACAAAUCCAGUUGCACAGAAGCGGCCUGGCUGCUGGAGGGCAGUGGCAGCCACUGCCCUGCUGUUUAGUGAAGCAUCUAAGCUGACACAGGGACAAUAUACAGAAGCUAUGACUCCCCACCAGGUUCAGACUGGGUUAGAAGUCAAGGGACACCAUUGGCUCACUGCAGGGAGGCUGACCAACUACCAAGCUCUCUUAUUAGACACCCUGGAUAUUACUUUAAGGGUAUGUCAGACUUUGAACACAGCAACCUCACUCCCAACCACAGAUGAUGAGGACUCACAGCAUCAAUGCACAGGGCCCACAAAACAGACUCCAGCAGGCCUAGCUUGUGAGAUAAGCCUCUUGAGAAUGCAAAGACGGAAUGAUAUCCUGAUGGCAGUAGCUUUGUGGAGGGAGACCCAAAAGGCAGGACAUGCAGUAGUAAGCCUGAAGGAGACUACAGAAACUAAAGCCCUUCCUCCCCAAAAUGGCACAAAAAGCAGCACUAGAGGCCUUAACAGAGCCUCACAACUGGGAGAAAGGGAGGGAGUAAAUUUAUACACCAACUCAAAGUAUAGGUUUCUCCUGCUGUGUGCCCAUGCAGCCAUAUGGAAGGAAAAGGGAAUGUUAACAGUUAAAAAUUCCCCAGGCAAACGUAAGGAUCCAAUCCAACUUCUCCUGGAAGCGGCACAACUUCCCUGCCAGGUGGCAGUCAUUCACUGCAAAGGCCACCAGAGGGACUGGUCCCUCAUCAGCCAAGGAAAUAGGGCCACAAAACAGGCAACCUGGUUAUAGGAAUCCAGCAAUGUGUUGGCCUUAAUGACAGACCCUACCAACCUUCCUAAUCACCUACAAUACUCACAACAAGAGCAAGAGGAAGCUAAGGGGCAGGGGUACCAGGAAAACAGUGCUGGAUGGUUCACAGAUGGUGACAAGUUUUAUUCCAGGAACUGACCAGUUGAAAGUUACUAAGCAUCUCCAUGAUGCCACUCAUUAAUGGAGACAUGUUUUAUGGAAUUCUGUCCAUAAAAUAUUCACCAGAAAGAAACUAAGAAAAAGUGUAAAACAAGUAACCUUUGUCAGUGAAUUGUGUUCCCGAAAUAAUCCCCACACCCAUCCAAUUCCCCCUUCUUGACUUAAACUGGUUCAACACAGGGGAACUUAUCUGGGAGAAGACUGGCAGGUUGUUUUAACCCAAAUGACUCCAAAUCUAGGGUACAAAUAUCUCCUGGUGUUUGUGGAUACUUUUACUGGACGGGUCAAGGGUUUCCCUACCUGUACAGAAAAAGCAGUAGAAGUCUGUAAACCUUCACUAAAGGAAGUAAUUUCUCAAUUUGGACUCCCCAAGUCCCCUCAGAGUGGUAACAGGCUCUCCUUCAUGGGUAAGAUUACUCAGAGCCUCUCCACAACCUUAGGAAUAGAUUAUGAACUGGCACCCCAAUCAUCAGGGAAAGUUAAGAUGAACCAUACACUUGAGACGACUCUAGCCAAACUCUUUCAGGAGACGCACGAGUCCUGGGUUAAGAUGCUCCCAGUCUUCUCAGGGUCCGCAGGGCCCCUUCGUGCAGCCUAAGACUUAGUUCUUCUCAGAUGAUCUACCAGAGGCCUUUCCUCACCACUGACCUCCUGUUAGGUGAAGAAUUACAUAAAAAAUUACAGUAUCGAUUUAGGACAGAUUCAAAAGGUGACUUCAGAAUAUGGAAACAAAAUCCUGCCAGUCCCCACUAAGGAUGGGAAAACCCCUUUACAAGUUAAUCCAGGGGACCAAGUCCUCCUAAAGGCUUGAAGGGCAGGCUCCCCGGAGGACCACCCCUUGCUUAAAUGGGAGGGCCCUUACUGGGUGAUCCUGACCACUCCAACUGCAGCCAACUCACAAGGAAUCACUAGCUGGGUACACCUCUCCCGAUCAGAAAUGCUUUCUCCUAAAUGUUUCCAGACUCGCCCAGAUGGCCCAUUUUACUCCUGAAAACCUGUGGAAGACCUCAAAUUCAGGAGAGCCAAUUCAUCAUCGGAGAAGUAAUGUGGUUAGAGAUCUUGAGUCCAAUACUUUUCCUUGUAUUACUAAUUGGUUUACUAUUAUUCUGUUGCUUUGCUCAGCCUCCUCCCUCAGGUAAAGACUUCGUUUGUCCCUGCUGGGUAUAAAGAUGCUACUCUUUACUUUGUUCCUACUCCUCCCCAUCAGGGCACAGGGUAGGCUAGGCCUACUAAAAUGAG